GACAGAGGGUGCAAACGUUGUUCGGAAUUACUGGGCGUAAAGCGUGUGUAGGCGGUCCGCUAAGUCGGGUGUGAAAGCCCUGGGCUCAACCCAGGAAGUGCACUCGAAACUGGCGGGCUAGAGUAUCGGAGAGGUUGGUGGAAUUCUCGGUGUAGAGGUGAAAUGCGCAGAUAUCAGGAAGAACACCCGUGGCGAAGGCGGCUCUCUGGGACGGUACUGACGCUGAGACGCGAAAGCGUGGGGAGCAAACAGG
RNAcentral lists this ribosomal RNA (253 nucleotides) under uncultured bacterium. RNAcentral describes it as "partial 16S ribosomal RNA". It matches the Rfam family "Bacterial small subunit ribosomal RNA", at positions 524 to 776 of the family's 1533-position model. The record is from RNAcentral.